This 484-nucleotide ribosomal RNA is filed under the name uncultured bacterium. RNAcentral describes it as "partial 16S ribosomal RNA". It matches the Rfam family "Bacterial small subunit ribosomal RNA", at positions 30 to 507 of the family's 1533-position model. The record is from RNAcentral.
AUUGAACGCUGGCGGCAGGCCUAGCACAUGCAAGUCGAGCGGAUGAAGGGAGCUUGCUCCUGGAUUCAGCGGCGGACGGGUGAGUAAUGCCUAGGAAUCUGCCUGGUAGUGGGGGAUAACGUCCGGAAGCGGGCGCUAAUACCGCAUACGUCCUGAGGGAGAAAGUGGGGGAUCUUCGGACCUCACGCUAUCAGAUGAGCCUAGGUCGGAUUAGCUAGUUGGUGGGGUAAAGGCCUACCAAGGCGACGAUCCGUAACUGGUCUGAGAGGAUGAUCAGUCACACUGGAACUGAGACACGGUCCAGACUCCUACGGGAGGCAGCAGUGGGGAAUAUUGGACAAUGGGCGAAAGCCUGAUCCAGCCAUGCCGCGUGUGUGAAGAAGGUCUUCGGAUUGUAAAGCACUUUAAGUUGGGAGGAAGGGCAGUAAGUUAAUACCUUGCUGUUUUGACGUUACCAACAGAAUAAGCACCGGCUAACUUCGUG